Molecule: ribosomal RNA, 507 nt
Filed under: Weissella confusa
Lineage: Bacteria; Bacillati; Bacillota; Bacilli; Lactobacillales; Lactobacillaceae
Description: bacterial SSU rRNA
Rfam family: Bacterial small subunit ribosomal RNA
Source: RNAcentral
GCAGUCGACGCUUUGUGGUUCAACUGAUUUGNAGAGCUUGCUCAGAUAUGACGAUGGACAUUGCAAAGAGUGGCGAACGGGUGAGUAACACGUGGGAAACCUACCUCUUAGCAGGGGAUAACAUUUGNAAACAGAUGCUAAUACCGUAUAACAAUGACAACCGCAUGGUUGUUAUUUAAAAGAUGGUUCUGCUAUCACUAAGAGAUGGUCCCGCGGUGCAUUAGNUAGUUGGUAAGGUAAUGGCUUACCAAGGCGAUGAUGCAUAGCCGAGUUGAGAGACUGAUCGGCCACAAUGGGACUGAGACACGGCCCAUACUCCUACGGGAGGCAGCAGUAGGGAAUCUUCCACAAUGGGCGAAAGCCUGAUGGAGCAACGCCGCGUGUGUGAUGAAGGGUUUCGGCUCGUAAAACACUGUUGUAAGAGAAGAAUGACAUUGAGAGUAACUGUUCAAUGUGUGACGGUAUCUUACCAGAAAGGAACGGCUAAAUACGUGCCAGCAGCCGCGG